Molecule: long non-coding RNA, 1040 nt
Organism: Nycticebus coucang (slow loris)
Lineage: Eukaryota; Metazoa; Chordata; Mammalia; Primates; Lorisidae
Exons: 3
Source: RefSeq, a predicted model, not a curated record
AGCAGGGGUUGUUAAGAGCCCAGCCCAAGGUUUAAUUAACACCAGGGCCCUGGCCUCUGUAGCUCCAAAUGGCCGCGAGGAGGGGCUGGCAUCCUGAGCUGGGUCAUGGCCUCAGCAACCAUCUACACUGAGCAGAAAGGAGUUCAGAGGGGAAAUCCCUGGAUCAGAGUCCUCUUCUACUGUUUCUGCCAUUCUGCCUGUGAGUGUUGAAGCUGUUCCCUCUAAGCCUCCUCCCCCCUGAAAUGGGGAUGAUGGGCCUCCUGCCUGCACGCAGCAAGUGAAAAGUGGCCAGUGUCGGUGCCGCUGUAUCACGCCAACACCUUGUGCAGGAAACAGCCGGAACACGGACUGAUGAAUGUACAAGCUUGCAAGAGGCCAGGCUGGUCCUGAGAUGCAGAGCUGGCUCUGGCAUCAUGCUUUGUCCUGCCCUAGGAGUGCCACUCAGAGGAGGAUCUGGUGAUUAGAUGAUUCUAGGACACUGAGGAAGACUGCUGGUCACAGAGAGGGUGUCCUGGCUAGGCCAGGGUCCCUGGAUGUAUCGGAAUUCUCAAGCUAUAAGAAUAAUAAUAGCAGUGCAUGGCUGAGAGAGGGGACAAGGUGGAAUGCCUUGGGGAAUUAGGGAAGCACCUCUCUUGGUCAACAUGCACGGGCUGAUGGACAAGCAUCUGAAGUACAUGAGCACGAGGAAGGCAGCUCUGGUGGGCACAGCCUCCCUCCCCAGCAGUCAAUUCUCCAGAGCACAGGUCAGGGCUGAGGUGCCCUUCAGCUCCAGUCUCUAUGCCAGCUAGACCUUUUGUGCAACCACUAGACCAGCUCUGAGGUCAAGGUCUUCAGUGACCUGGAGGUUCUGGAGAACUUGGAGGUGAAAUGCAGGUCCCAUGUCAUGCAGGCCUUUGAGAGGAGACUCCUUUGGGCUGCCCAACUUCAUCACAUAUGAAGUUAGUGUGUCAGACCCUGAAGCUGGCAGAAGAGACAUUGGACAGGUUCUGCACCUUGGUCUCAACCCCCACAGCAUAAAGGAAUGGUUGACUGAAUGAGUG